AAUAAGUGCAGUUUUAUACUAUUCACGUUUAACGUUUGACCGUUCGUCUUAUUUAAAAAUUUUUUAUGAUUAGUAUUUUUAUUAUGAUAAAAUAUGAAUAGUACUUUAUGUGUGACUAAAUAUUUUUAAAUUUUUCACAAAUUUUUCAAAUAAGAUGGACGGUCAAAUGUACGGAUAUCCAUGACUGCACUUAUU
Oryza barthii is the source of this 195-nucleotide non-coding RNA. The record is from Rfam. Lineage: Eukaryota; Viridiplantae; Streptophyta; Magnoliopsida; Poales; Poaceae.